CAGAACGAACGCUGGUGGCGUGUCUUAUACAUGCAAGUCGAGCGAGGCAGCAAUGCCGAGCGGCGAACGGGUGAGUAACGCGUAAGCAAUCUGCCCCAUAUCAGGAAAUACCCGUGCCAACGCGCGGUUAAUGUCCAGGAGAGUGGCCCUCUGCAUGGAGGGUUGACUAGAGAUUUAUCGGUAUGGGAUGAGCUUGCGUCCGAUUAGCUAGUUGGCGGGGCAACGGCCCACCAAGGCGACGAUCGGUAGCCGGCCUGAGAGGGUGAUCGGCCACAUUGGGACUGAGAUACGGCCCAGACUCCUACGGGAGGCAGCAGUAGGGAAUAUUGCACAAUGGGGGAAACCCUGAUGCAGCAACGCCACGUGUGGGAAGAAGCAUUUCGGUGUGUAAACCACUGUCAUGAGGGGAUAAGGCCCGCCUUCGGACGGGAUUGAAUGUACCUUGAGAGGAAGCACCGGCAAACUUCGUGCCAGCCGCAGC
RNAcentral lists this ribosomal RNA (481 nucleotides) under uncultured bacterium. Its description in RNAcentral is "bacterial SSU rRNA". It matches the Rfam family "Bacterial small subunit ribosomal RNA", at positions 25 to 518 of the family's 1533-position model. The record is from RNAcentral.